Long non-coding RNA from Xiphophorus couchianus (Monterrey platyfish), 157 nucleotides. RefSeq lists it as uncharacterized. The record is from RefSeq and is a predicted model, not a curated record. NCBI's taxonomy places the organism in Eukaryota, Metazoa, Chordata, Actinopteri, Cyprinodontiformes, Poeciliidae. The transcript has 3 exons.
ACAAUAUUACUGCUGCUAGCAUUACCAGGGUUUUCGACCUCCCCCCUGAAGUCCCGAAAAAGGGUCAAAAGACCCUGAAACCAAACUAACGACUCUGAUGGCUCAAAUUAGCAUCCCUUCUUCAAUUGUAAAUGUGGCCAUUGACCGUCAGGCCAGA